Molecule: microRNA precursor, 99 nt
Organism: Loxodonta africana (African savanna elephant)
Lineage: Eukaryota; Metazoa; Chordata; Mammalia; Proboscidea; Elephantidae
Source: Ensembl
CAGUCUUCUUUGGUAUUUAAAAGGUGGAUAUUCCUCCUAUGUUUACACGAUUCAUGGUUAAUCAUAGAGGAAAAUCCAUAUUUUCAGUAUCAAAUGCUG